CCUACGGGAGGCAGCAGUGGGGAAUAUUGCACAAUGGGGGAAACCCUGAUGCAGCGACGCCGCGUGAGUGAAGAAGUAAUUCGUUAUGUAAAGCUCUAUCAGCAGGGAAGAAAAUGAUGGUACCUGAGUAAGAAGCCGCGGCUAACUACGUGCCAGCAGCCGCGGUAAUACGUAGGGGGCAAGCGUUAUCCGGAUUUACUGGGUGGAAAGGGAGUGUAGGCUGGGAGGUAAGUCAGCGGUGGAAUGCCACCGCUCAACGGGGUGCAGUGCCAUUGAUACUGCCUUGCUGGAAUGCGGAUGCCGUGGGAGGAAUGUGUGGUGUAGCGGUGAAAUGCAUAGAUAUCACACAGAACACCGAUUGCGAAGGCAUCUCACGAAUCCGCGAUUGACGCUGAGGCACGAAAGCGUGGGUAUCAAACAGGAUUAGAUACCCCAGUAGUC
This 441-nucleotide ribosomal RNA is filed under the name uncultured bacterium. RNAcentral's name for it is "partial 16S ribosomal RNA". It matches the Rfam family "Bacterial small subunit ribosomal RNA", at positions 338 to 795 of the family's 1533-position model. The record is from RNAcentral.